Long non-coding RNA from Eriocheir sinensis (Chinese mitten crab), 723 nucleotides. RefSeq lists it as uncharacterized. The transcript has 2 exons. NCBI's taxonomy places the organism in Eukaryota, Metazoa, Arthropoda, Malacostraca, Decapoda, Varunidae. The record is from RefSeq and is a predicted model, not a curated record.
GAUGCACAAGAAUAUAUGGUCAGUUCAUCAGCUUGUAUUUUCAUUUCCUGAUAUUUAUAGCACGAAACAAGCUUCAGUUACUAAUCUAUGUUUUGUGGUAGUAUUAUAGGCUUAAGCAUCCAGGAGUUGAAAAGUAAAAUGAGAGGCACUGCAUCACCACUGUCAUGCUGCGUAUCUUUUGUUUACAUGUACCAACUGAACAAAUGCUUAAAGUUGUGCUCCUUGAGCAUAUUUCAUUUUUUGUUUUCAGUAUUAAUUCAGUGUGAGAUUUUAGUAAGGUAAAUGGCAUCAUGAAGAAAAGGACAAGGUAAUAUUAGUAAAGUAAAUAUCAAUGUGCAAUAAAGGCAGUGACAAUGCAGUUACCGCCAGUGAAACUAAAAAAAUUGUUAGUUGAAAAUAAACAACUUAGGACUUUGUUGUUUAGCAAGGUGUUAAUAAUAUCAGUUCACUACUUAGGACUUUGUUGUUUAGCAAGGUGUCAAUAAUAUCAGUUCACUGCUCAGUGGGAAGGAUGAUAAAUAACGGGAUACUGCAGCACCUCACAAUGGCUCAAGAUUGAGUGUGAGGUUCAAUACAGCAAACAUACCUCUAAGCCUGUAUUUUACAAGGAAACUGGGGGUCAUUUUUUAUUUAUUUAUUUAUUUUUUGCAGCAGAGGAAGCAGCUAAAAAAAAAAAAAAAAAAAAAAAAAAAAAAAAAAAAUAAAAAAAAAAACUGAAAAAAA